CAUUACACAAAUAUGAAGGCGGGCUGGAAUCUCUCGGGGUUACAGCCUUGCUGAAUUAUUCACCCUUGUCUUUUGCGUACUUCUUGUUUCCUUGGUGGGUUCGCCCACCACUAGGACAAACAUAAACCUUUUGUAAUUGCAAUCAGCGUCAGUAACAAAUUAAUAAUUACAACUUUCAACAACGGAUCUCUUGGUUCUGGCAUCGAUGAAGAACGCAGCGAAAUGCGAUAAGUAGUGUGAAUUGCAGAAUUCAGUGAAUCAUCGAAUCUUUGAACGCACAUUGCGCCCUUUGGUAUUCCAAAGGGCAUGCCUGUUCGAGCGUCAUUUGUACCCUCAAGCUUUGCUUGGUGUUGGGCGUCUUGUCUCUAGCUUUGCUGGAGACUCGCCUUAAAGUAAUUGGCAGCCGGCCUACUGGUUUCGGAGCGCAGCACAAGUCGCACUCUCUAUCAGCAAAGGUCUAGCAUCCAUUAAGCCUUUUUUCAACUUUUGACCUCGGAUCAGGUAGGGAUACCCGCUGAACUUAAGCAUAUCAAUAAGCGGAGGAAAU
This 547-nucleotide ribosomal RNA is filed under the name uncultured fungus. RNAcentral describes it as "eukaryotic LSU rRNA". The stretch from base 171 to 324 matches the Rfam family "5.8S ribosomal RNA". The record is from RNAcentral. Lineage: Eukaryota; Fungi.